This 508-nucleotide ribosomal RNA is filed under the name uncultured bacterium. Its description in RNAcentral is "partial 16S ribosomal RNA". It matches the Rfam family "Bacterial small subunit ribosomal RNA", at positions 28 to 523 of the family's 1533-position model. The record is from RNAcentral.
GAUGAACGCUAGCUACAGGCUUAACACAUGCAAGUCGAGGGGAAACGAUAGAGAAAGCUUGCUUUUUCUAGGCGUCGACCGGCGCACGGGUGAGUAACGCGUAUCCAACCUGCCCACCACUUGGGGAUAACCCUGCGAAAGUAAGACUAAUACCCAAUGAUAUCUCAAGAAGACAUCUGAAUGAGAUUAAAGAUUUAUCGGUGAUGGAUGGGGAUGCGUCUGAUUAGCUUGUUGGCGGGGUAACGGCCCACCAAGGCGACGAUCAGUAGGGGUUCUGAGAGGAAGGUCCCCCACAUUGGAACUGAGACACGGUCCAAACUCCUACGGGAGGCAGCAGUGAGGAAUAUUGGUCAAUGGGCGAGAGCCUGAACCUGCCAAGUAGCGUGCAGGAUGACGGCCCUAUGGGUUGUAAACUGCUUUUAUAAGGGAAUAAAGUGAGUCUCGUGAGACUUUUUGCAUGUACCUUAUGAAUAAGGACCGGCUAAUUCCGUGCCAGCAGCCGCGGUAA